UUAGUACUCUGCCAGCACCCA
This 21-nucleotide unclassified non-coding RNA is filed under the name Mus musculus (house mouse). RNAcentral's name for it is "oocyte_clustered_small_RNA12888". Lineage: Eukaryota; Metazoa; Chordata; Mammalia; Rodentia; Muridae. The record is from RNAcentral.